GCCUCCGUGGCGCAAUCGGUUAGCGCGUUCGGCUGUUAACCGAAAGGUUGGUGGUUCGAGUGCACCCGGUGGCG
This 74-nucleotide transfer RNA is filed under the name Ixodes scapularis (black-legged tick). RNAcentral describes it as "tRNA-Asn". It matches the Rfam family "tRNA". Rfam says of the family: Transfer RNA (tRNA) molecules are approximately 80 nucleotides in length. Their secondary structure includes four short double-helical elements and three loops (D, anti-codon, and T loops). Further hydrogen bonds mediate the characteristic L-shaped molecular structure. tRNAs have two regions of fundamental functional importance: the anti-codon, which is responsible for specific mRNA codon recognition, and the 3' end, to which the tRNAs corresponding amino acid is attached (by aminoacyl-tRNA synthetases). tRNAs cope with the degeneracy of the genetic code in two manners: having more than one tRNA (with a specific anti-codon) for a particular amino acid; and 'wobble' base-pairing, i.e. permitting non-standard base-pairing at the 3rd anti-codon position. Lineage: Eukaryota; Metazoa; Arthropoda; Arachnida; Ixodida; Ixodidae. The record is from RNAcentral.